Molecule: ribosomal RNA, 520 nt
Filed under: uncultured Glomus
Lineage: Eukaryota; Fungi; Glomeromycota; Glomeromycetes; Glomerales; Glomeraceae
Description: SSU rRNA
Rfam family: Eukaryotic small subunit ribosomal RNA
Source: RNAcentral
AGCAGCCGCGGUAAUUCCAGCUCCAAUAGCGUAUAUUAAAGUUGUUGCAGUUAAAAAGCUCGUAGUUGAAUUUCGGGGUUAGUAGGUUGGUCAUGCCUCUGGUAUGUACUGGUCUCACUGAUUCCUCCUUCCUGAUGAACCUUAAUGCCAUUAAUUUGGUGUUUUGGGGAAUUUGGACUGUUACUUUGAAAAAAUUAGAGUGUUUAAAGCAAGCUAACGCUUGAAUACAUUAGCAUGGAAUAAUGAAAUAGGACGUUCGAUCCUAUUUUGUUGGUUUCUAGGAUUGACGUAAUGAUUAAUAGGGAUAGUUGGGGGCAUUAGUAUUCAAUUGUCAGAGGUGAAAUUCUUGGAUUUAUUGAAGACUAACUACUGCGAAAGCAUUUGCCAAGGAUGUUUUCAUUAAUCAAGAACGAAAGUUAGGGGAUCGAAGACGAUCAGAUACCGUCGUAGUCUUAACCAUAAACUAUGCCGACUAGGGAUCGGAUGAUGUUAAUUUUUAAUGGCUCAUUCGGCGCCUUAC